ACGGGUCUUUAUUCACCAACGUUUGCCAGGAAUAACAAAAUAAAUAGGUCCCCUUGUGCCAUUUUCAGCAUGCCAGCUGAUUGCACAGUGUUCUGGGAUAGAUCAUUGCCCACCCCAAUCCUUUUUGUCCUGCUCUGUUGCAUAUACCAUACCCAUUCUGUUUUGGAAACACAGAGCAAGCACAGAACUGGCAUGUGAUCUGAACAGUCAGAGCAAGAUAAUUGCUUGAGGUUUAUUUGCACAGCUACUGACCUCUGCUUCACCCAGUACAGGAGGAUUAACAGCGGAAUGGCAGACAGUGCUUCUACGGCUAGGGAAUUCAAUGUAAGUUCAAGACAACUGCUGAAAACCUCAGGAACAGAGAAGACGCCUGCCUGCAGCUAUCAAUAUAGCAUGAAACUGCUCCCUAGAGAUCGCAUAUUCCACCACAGACAGGCUGAGGUAAUGGCAGACAGGAAGUCUGAGAGCUGCUUUUUACCUACUGUCAUGGCAGGGCUGUGCUCUUUGCUUCAGGAGGAGCCAUACUAAGCAGUAAGGCUUUGGUCAUUCAUUAACGCAAAGACUCUGGAAAGAGAAAGUGCCAGCAAUGUUCGAAGCUCAGGGACUCACCAGCUGCUUCAACAGCUAAUGACUUAUAAGACACCUUGUGACAAAUGUAAUGCUCAUAUUGUAAUGAAAGUAUUAAAAUUAUGAUAAUACAACACACUGCCGUGGAUGAAGAAUAAUCCUUU
This is a long non-coding RNA of Lepisosteus oculatus (spotted gar), 731 nucleotides long. RefSeq lists it as uncharacterized. NCBI's taxonomy places the organism in Eukaryota, Metazoa, Chordata, Actinopteri, Semionotiformes, Lepisosteidae. The record is from RefSeq and is a predicted model, not a curated record.